This is a non-coding RNA of Podarcis lilfordi (Lilford's wall lizard), 71 nucleotides long. The record is from the annotation of a GenBank genome assembly. NCBI's taxonomy places the organism in Eukaryota, Metazoa, Chordata, Lepidosauria, Squamata, Lacertidae.
GGUAAAAUGCUCGGCGGUAGAGCAUCUGCUUUGCAUGCAGAAGGUCCCAGGUUCAAUCCCCAAUUGCAUCU